GAUGAACGCUGGCGGCGUGCCUAAUACAUGCAAGUCGAGCGAACGGACGAGAAGCUUGCUUUUCUGAUGUUAGCGGCGGACGGGUGAGUAACACGUGGAUAACCUACCUAUAAGACUGGGUUAACUUCGGGAAACCGGAGCUAAUACCGGAUAAUAUUUUGAACCGCAUGGUUCAAAAGUGAAAGACGGUCUUGCUGUCACUUAUAGAUGGAUCCGCGCUGCAUUAGCUAGUUGGUAAGGUAACGGCUUACCAAGGCAACGAUGCAUAGCCGACCUGAGAGGGUGAUCGGCCACACUGGAACUGAGACACGGUCCAGACUCCUACGGGAGGCAGCAGUAGGGAAUCUUCCGCAAUGGGCGAAAGCCUGACGGAGCAACGCCGCGUGAGUGAUGAAGGUCUUCGAAUCGUAAAACUCUGUUAUUAGGGAAGAACAUAUGUGUAAGUAACUGUGCACAUCUUGACGGUACCUAAUCAGAAAGCCACGGCUAACUACGUG
Molecule: ribosomal RNA, 497 nt
Filed under: uncultured bacterium
Lineage: Bacteria
Description: partial 16S ribosomal RNA
Rfam family: Bacterial small subunit ribosomal RNA
Source: RNAcentral